UACAGGGGGUGCAAACGUUGCUCGGAAUCAUUGGGCGUAAAGCGCACGUAGGCGGUUCGUUAUGUCGGAUGUGAAAGCCCUUGGCUUAACCGAGGAAGUGCAUCCGAAACUGGCGAGCUAGAGUACGAAAGAGGAUCGCGGAAUUCCCGGUGUAGAGGUGAAAUGCGUAGAGAUCGGGAGGAACACCCGUAGCGAAGGCGGCCGACUGGACCACACCUGACGCUGAGGCGCGAAGGCCAGGGGAGCGAACGGG
Molecule: ribosomal RNA, 253 nt
Filed under: uncultured bacterium
Lineage: Bacteria
Description: partial 16S ribosomal RNA
Rfam family: Bacterial small subunit ribosomal RNA
Source: RNAcentral